RNAcentral lists this ribosomal RNA (1426 nucleotides) under uncultured bacterium. RNAcentral describes it as "bacterial SSU rRNA". It matches the Rfam family "Bacterial small subunit ribosomal RNA". The record is from RNAcentral.
ACAGGCUUAACACAUGCAAGUCGAGGGGCAGCAUGGUCUUAUCUUGCUAAGGCCGAUGGCGACCGGCGCACGGGUGAGUAACACGUAUCCAACCUGCCGUCUACUCUUGGACAGCCUUCUGAAAGGAAGAUUAAUACAAGAUGGCAUCAUGAGUCCGCAUGUUCACAUGAUUAAAGGUAUUCCGGUAGACGAUGGGGAUGCGUUCCAUUAGAUAGUAGGCGGGGUAACGGCCCACCUAGUCUUCGAUGGAUAGGGGUUCUGAGAGGAAGGUCCCCCACAUUGGAACUGAGACACGGUCCAAACUCCUACGGGAGGCAGCAGUGAGGAAUAUUGGUCAAUGGGCGAGAGCCUGAACCAGCCAAGUAGCGUGAAGGAUGACUGCCCUAUGGGUUGUAAACUUCUUUUAUAAAGGAAUAAAGUCGGGUAUGGAUACCCGUUUGCAUGUACUUUAUGAAUAAGGAUCGGCUAACUCCGUGCCAGCAGCCGCGGUAAUACGGAGGAUCCGAGCGUUAUCCGGAUUUAUUGGGUUUAAAGGGAGCGUAGAUGGAUGUUUAAGUCAGUUGUGAAAGUUUGCGGCUCAACCGUAAAAUUGCAGUUGAUACUGGAUAUCUUGAGUGCAGUUGAGGCAGGCGGAAUUCGUGGUGUAGCGGUGAAAUGCUUAGAUAUCACGAAGAACUCCGAUUGCGAAGGCAGCCUGCUAAGCUGCAACUGACAUUGAGGCUCGAAAGUGUGGGUAUCAAACAGGAUUAGAUACCCUGGUAGUCCACACGGUAAACGAUGAAUACUCGCUGUUUGCGAUAUACUGCAAGCGGCCAAGCGAAAGCGUUAAGUAUUCCACCUGGGGAGUACGCCGGCAACGGUGAAACUCAAAGGAAUUGACGGGGGCCCGCACAAGCGGAGGAACAUGUGGUUUAAUUCGAUGAUACGCGAGGAACCUUACCCGGGCUUAAAUUGCAGAUGAAUUACGGUGAAAGCCGUAAGCCGCAAGGCAUCUGUGAAGGUGCUGCAUGGUUGUCGUCAGCUCGUGCCGUGAGGUGUCGGCUUAAGUGCCAUAACGAGCGCAACCCUUGUUGUCAGUUACUAACAGGUUCCGCUGAGGACUCUGACAAGACUGCCAUCGUAAGAUGUGAGGAAGGUGGGGAUGACGUCAAAUCAGCACGGCCCUUACGUCCGGGGCUACACACGUGUUACAAUGGGGGGUACAGAGGGCCGCUACCACGCGAGUGGAUGCCAAUCCCCAAAACCUCCCUCAGUUCGGACUGGAGUCUGCAACCCGACUCCACGAAGCUGGAUUCGCUAGUAAUCGCGCAUCAGCCACGGCGCGGUGAAUACGUUCCCGGGCCUUGUACACACCGCCCGUCAAGCCAUGGGAGCCGGGGGUACCUGAAGUGCGUAAACGGGAGGAGCGCCCUAGGGUAAAACUGGU